Molecule: ribosomal RNA, 468 nt
Filed under: uncultured bacterium
Lineage: Bacteria
Description: partial 16S ribosomal RNA
Rfam family: Bacterial small subunit ribosomal RNA
Source: RNAcentral
GACGAACGCUGGCGGCGUGCUUAACACAUGCAAGUCGAACGGAAAGGCCCUGCUUUUGUGGGGUGCUCGAGUGGCGAACGGGUGAGUAACACGUGAGUAACCUGCCCUUGACUUUGGUAUAACUUCAGGAAACUGGGGCUAAUACCGGAUAGGAUCUCCUGCUGCAUGGUGGGGGUUGGAAAGUUUCGGCGGUUGGGGAUGGACUCGCGGCUUAUCAGCUUGUUGGUGGGGUAGUGGCUUACCAAGGCUUUGACGGGUAGCCGGCCUGAGAGGGUGACCGGCCACAUGGGGACUGAGAGACGGCCCAGACUCCUACGGGAGGCAGCAGUGGGGAAUAUUGCACAAUGGGCGGAAGCCUGAGGCAGCAACGCCGCGUGCGGGAUGACGGCCUGCGGGUUGUAAACCGCUUUCGCCUGUGACGAAGCGGGAGUGACGGUAAUGGGUAAAGAAGCACCGGCUAACUACGUG